RNAcentral lists this ribosomal RNA (1372 nucleotides) under uncultured bacterium. Its description in RNAcentral is "bacterial SSU rRNA". It matches the Rfam family "Bacterial small subunit ribosomal RNA". The record is from RNAcentral.
UUAGAGUUUGAUCCUGGCUCAGAACGAACGCUGGCGGCGUGGAUAAGACAUGCAAGUCGAACGAGAGAAUUGCUAGCUUGCUAAUAAUUCUCUAGUGGCGCACGGGUGAGUAACACGUGAGUAACCUGCCCCCGAGAGCGGGAUAGCCCUGGGAAACUGGGAUUAAUACCGCAUAGUAUCGAAAGAUUAAAGCAGCAAUGCGCUUGGGGUUGGGCUCGCGGCCUAUUAGUUAGUUGGUGAGGUAACGGCUCACCAAGGCGAUGACGGGUAGCCGGUCUGAGAGGAUGUCCGGCCACACUGGAACUGAGACACGGUCCAGACACCUACGGGUGGCAGCAGUCGAGAAUCAUUCACAAUGGGGGAAACCCUGAUGGUGUGACGCCGCGUGGGGGAAUGAAGGUCUUCGGAUUGUAAACCCCUGUCAUGUGGGAGCAAAUUAAAAAGAUAGUACCACAAGAGGAAGAGACGGCUAACUCUGUGCCAGCAGCCGCGGUAAUACAGAGGUCUCAAGCGUUGUUCGGAAUCACUGGGCGUAAAGCGUGCGUAGGCUGUUUCGUAAGUCGUGUGUGAAAGGCGCGGGCUCAACCCGCGGACGGCACAUGAUACUGCGAGACUAGAGUAAUGGAGGGGGAACCGGAAUUCUCGGUGUAGCAGUGAAAUGCGUAGAUAUCGAGAGGAACACUCGUGGCGAAGGCGGGUUCCUGGACAUUAACUGACGCUGAGGCACGAAGGCCAGGGGAGCGAAAGGGAUUAGAUACCCCUGUAGUCCUGGCAGUAAACGGUGCACGCUUGGUGUGCGGGGAAUCGACCCCCUGCGUGCCGGAGCUAACGCGUUAAGCGUGCCGCCUGGGGAGUACGGUCGCAAGAUUAAAACUCAAAGAAAUUGACGGGGACCCGCACAAGCGGUGGAGUAUGUGGCUUAAUUCGAUGCAACGCGAAGAACCUUACCUGGGCUUGACAUGUAAUGAACAACAUGUGAAAGCAUGCGACUCUUCGGAGGCGUUACACAGGUGCUGCAUGGCCGUCGUCAGCUCGUGUCGUGAGAUGUUUGGUUAAGUCCAGCAACGAGCGCAACCCCUGUUGCCAGUUACCAGCACGUGAAGGUGGGGACUCUGGCGAGACUGCCCAGAUCAACUGGGAGGAAGGUGGGGACGACGUCAGGUCAGUAUGGCCCUUAUGCCCAGGGCUGCACACGUACUACAAUGCCCAGUACAGAGGGGGCCGAAGCCGCGAGGCGGAGGAAAUCCUGAAAACUGGGCCCAGUUCGGACUGUAGGCUGCAACCCGCCUACACGAAGCCGGAAUCGCUAGUAAUGGCGCAUCAGCUACGGCGCCGUGAAUACGUUCCCGGGUCUUGUACACACCGCCCGUCA